AGUAAAUUGGUUAAGUUAGAAAGGGCGCACGGUGGAUGCCUUGGCACUAGGAGCCGAAGAAGGACGGGACUAACACCGAUAUGCUUUGGGGAGCUGUACGUAAGCGUUGAUCCAGAGAUUUCCGAAUGGGGGAACCCACUAUCUUUAGUCGGAUAGUAUCCUUACGUGAAUACAUAGCGUGAGGAAGGCAGACCCAGGGAACUGAAACAUCUAAGUACCUGGAGGAAGAGAAAGAAAAAUCGAUUUCCUGAGUAGCGGCGAGCGAAACGGAAAGAGCCCAAACCAAGAAGCUUGCUUCUUGGGGUUGUAGGACACUCUAUACGGAGUUACAAAAGAAAGUUAUAAAUGAAGCGGUCUGGAAAGGCCCGCCAAAGACGGUAACAGCCCGGUAGUUGAAAUGGCUUUCCCUCCAGAGUGGAUCCUGAGUACGGCGGAACACGUGAAAUUCCGUCGGAAUCCGGGAGGACCAUCUCCCAAG
This 478-nucleotide ribosomal RNA is filed under the name Listeria innocua. RNAcentral describes it as "partial 23S ribosomal RNA". It matches the Rfam family "Bacterial large subunit ribosomal RNA", at positions 1 to 464 of the family's 2925-position model. Lineage: Bacteria; Bacillati; Bacillota; Bacilli; Caryophanales; Listeriaceae. The record is from RNAcentral.